Oncorhynchus kisutch (coho salmon) is the source of this 55-nucleotide small nuclear RNA. Its record names the gene U7. It matches the Rfam family "U7 small nuclear RNA". From Rfam's summary of the family: Animal histone pre-mRNAs are spliced by a different mechanism than nuclear pre-mRNAs and self-splicing introns. This processing involves the U7 snRNP, which contains only one RNA species: U7. The record is from Ensembl. Lineage: Eukaryota; Metazoa; Chordata; Actinopteri; Salmoniformes; Salmonidae.
GAAAAUUUGCUCUUUUAUUAUUUGACCAGUAGGUUUCCUUAAGGAGAAAGCCCCC